RNAcentral lists this ribosomal RNA (430 nucleotides) under uncultured bacterium. Its description in RNAcentral is "partial 16S ribosomal RNA". It matches the Rfam family "Bacterial small subunit ribosomal RNA", at positions 29 to 506 of the family's 1533-position model. The record is from RNAcentral.
AACGAACGCUGGCGGCAGGCCUAACACAUGCAAGUCGAGCGCCCCGCAAGGGGAGCGGCGGACGGGUGAGUAACGCGUGGGAACGUACCCUUUGCUACGGAAUAGCCUCGGGAAACUGGGAGUAAUACCGUAUGUGUCCUUCGGGAGAAAGAUUUAUCGGCAAGGGAUCGGCCCGCGUUGGAUUAGGUAGUUGGUGGGGUAAUGGCCUACCAAGCCGACGAUCCAUAGCUGGUUUGAGAGGAUGAUCAGCCACACUGGGACUGAGACACGGCCCAGACUCCUACGGGAGGCAGCAGUGGGGAAUCUUAGACAAUGGGCGCAAGCCUGAUCUAGCCAUGCCGCGUGAGCGAUGAAGGCCUUAGGGUUGUAAAGCUCUUUCAGGGGGGAAGAUAAUGACUGUACCCCCAGAAGAAGCCCCGGCUAACUCCGU